GGAAAACAUCAUCACAUUUUGCCAUUCAUUGUGAAAUUGGUGAACAAUCAAUUAAUCAUUUUUCUACAAUUGAUCACCAUCUUUCAAUAACUAAUUACAACAUUUGCUAAUACAAAAAACACAAGGACUGAGAAUACUCAUAGUCCAUUUUUUCGCAAGCUAUCUAAUGUACUUCCACAACCUAGCAUUGUUGCUAUAAUAAACUAUUCACAAUCAAGCUCUAAACUAUCUAGCUGAGGGAUCACAAAGGAUCCAUAACUGAGCAUGCGUAUACUAUUUCCACAAUCUCCACCAACUUUGCUAGAUUAUCAACCAUAGUUGGGGAAAUUAGUAUCACCUAUAUAGUUUAACAAACUAAAGAAAAAAAUGAGAAUGAUUUUAAGCUAAAAUCACUUGCUCUUCUUACGCCCACCAUUUUCUAUGAUUCUUUCC
This 432-nucleotide long non-coding RNA is filed under the name Capsicum annuum. RNAcentral describes it as "long non-coding RNA (CANN_LNC003443)". Lineage: Eukaryota; Viridiplantae; Streptophyta; Magnoliopsida; Solanales; Solanaceae. The record is from RNAcentral.